RNAcentral lists this long non-coding RNA (470 nucleotides) under Nicotiana benthamiana. RNAcentral describes it as "long non-coding RNA (NBEN_LNC025341)". Lineage: Eukaryota; Viridiplantae; Streptophyta; Magnoliopsida; Solanales; Solanaceae. The record is from RNAcentral.
AUGUCACCUUAAAGAUAUCUCCAUAUUCAGUUUGCAAAAGAAAGAAAAACAUUGACUUCUGCUUAUGCAUAGCAGCUGAAACAAUCAAAACCCCACGUUCCGCUGGCAAAUCCACCCUCCUGGGAAUAACAGCCCUAACAUCAGGGUGUCCCUGAUUCUUAUAUAUCACGAAAUUCUCCGCGCAAACAAGCACACCACUCGGACCAUCCCCACCACCAGGUACGGCCCUCCUGGGAAUAACAGCCCUAACAUCGGGGUGUCCCUGAUUCUUAUAUAUCACGAAAUUCUCCGCGCAAACAAGCACACCACUCGGACCAUCCCCACCACCAGGUACGGUCACGAGCAAAUUAGCACCAUUAUCAACCUGUUCACUCCACUUCCUCGACACGUGAUUAAGCCCUAAAUCUAAUUCAUAAAACGUCAAAUGCUUCUGAGCCUCAUUUGCGGCCUGGCCAGUAGGAUCCUGAUCC